AGGCAGGAUGUGGAGAGCAGCCCUUGCUACUCUAACUGCUGGUGCUUCAGGUGACCAAGGUGGCUCAUUGGAUUUAGAAGAUUUCACAAAGCACUAAGUGCAAGAGCUGGAUUUGGCAGGGUAUCUGUGGCAACAGGACUUCUACCAAACACACUAUACGAAUAUCUCAAGCUUCUGCAUUACCUUGCAGUACCUGCAGUGGAUGGAGGCCAGGGAUGACAAUACCAGCGGCUCUCAGUGCAGAACCCGACAGAUCCAAUGCUACUGGGACUCUGAGCUCUCCAUGCCCAGUUCAGUCAUACAAUGGGAACAUAAAUAAUGAGAACUGAAGUGGAAUUCACACACGUAGCAAACUGAGAUUAGUCACAGAGAUACUUAGGACAGCAAAGACAAUAAAAGCAGUACUU
Cyanistes caeruleus (blue tit) is the source of this 407-nucleotide non-coding RNA. Lineage: Eukaryota; Metazoa; Chordata; Aves; Passeriformes; Paridae. The record is from RefSeq and is a predicted model, not a curated record.